Molecule: non-coding RNA, 94 nt
Organism: Acanthosepion pharaonis
Lineage: Eukaryota; Metazoa; Mollusca; Cephalopoda; Sepiida; Sepiidae
Source: the annotation of a GenBank genome assembly
UUUGAAACAUUGGUUCCCGUACGAUCACCGAAGUUAAGCAACGUCGAGCCUGGUCAGUACCUAAUUGGUCGACCGAUUGGGAAUGCUAGGUACU